RNAcentral lists this ribosomal RNA (759 nucleotides) under uncultured Glomeromycotina. Its description in RNAcentral is "SSU rRNA". It matches the Rfam family "Eukaryotic small subunit ribosomal RNA", at positions 338 to 1099 of the family's 1831-position model. Lineage: Eukaryota; Fungi; Glomeromycota. The record is from RNAcentral.
GGCCUACCAUGGUGGUAACGGGUAACGGGGUGUUAGGGCACGACACCGGAGAGGGAGCCUGAGAAACGGCUACCACAUCCAAGGGUGGCAGCAGGCGCGCAAAUUACCCAAUCCCGACACGGGGAGGUAGUGACAAUAAAUAACAAUACGGGGUUCUUUCGGAUUUCGUAAUUGGAAUGAGUACAAUUUAAAUCUCUUAACGAGGAACAAUUGGAGGGCAAGUCUGGUGCCAGCAGCCGCGGUAAUUCCAGCUCCAAUAGCGUAUAUUAAAGUUGCUGCAGUUAAAAAGCUCGUAGUUGAAUUUCGGGACCAAUAUGUCGGUCGUGCCUCGGUACGUACUGGCAUCGUUGGUUUCUCCCUUCUGACGAACCAUGAUGUCAUUUAUUUGGUGUCGUGGGGAAUCAGGACUGUUACUUUGAAAAAAUUAGAGUGUUUAAAGCAGGCUCACGCUUGAAUACAUUAGCAUGGAAUAAUGAAAUAGGACGUUUGAUUCUAUUUUGUUGGUUUCUAGGAUCGACGUAAUGAUUAAUAGGGAUAGUUGGGGGCAUUAGUAUUCAAUUGUCAGAGGUGAAAUUCUUGGAUUUAUUGAAGACUAACUACUGCGAAAGCAUUUGCCAAGGAUGUUUUCAUUAAUCAAGAACGAAAGUUAGGGGAUCGAAGACGAUCAGAUACCGUCGUAGUCUUAACCAUAAACUAUGCCGACCAGGGAUCGGAUGAUGUUAAUUUUUUAAUGACUCAUUCGGCGCCUUACGGGAAACC